UACGUAGGGUGCAAGCGUUAUCCGGAAUCAUUGGGCGUAAAGCGUUCGUAGGUGGUUUAGAAAGUUCGUGGUUAAAUCCGGUCGCUCAACGAUCGAAUCGCUGCGAAAACUCCUAAACUGGAGAGUGGCAGAGGCAACUGGAAUUUCGCAUGUAGGGGUAAAAUCCGUUGAUAUGCGAAGGAACACCAAAAGCGAAGGCAGGUUGCUGGGCCAUUGCUGACACUGAGGAACGAAAGAGUGGGGAGCAAACAGG
RNAcentral lists this ribosomal RNA (253 nucleotides) under uncultured bacterium. RNAcentral describes it as "partial 16S ribosomal RNA". It matches the Rfam family "Bacterial small subunit ribosomal RNA", at positions 524 to 776 of the family's 1533-position model. The record is from RNAcentral.